This 1270-nucleotide ribosomal RNA is filed under the name Candidatus Phytoplasma phoenicium. RNAcentral's name for it is "bacterial SSU rRNA". It matches the Rfam family "Bacterial small subunit ribosomal RNA", at positions 195 to 1457 of the family's 1533-position model. The record is from RNAcentral. Lineage: Bacteria; Bacillati; Mycoplasmatota; Mollicutes; Acholeplasmatales; Acholeplasmataceae.
UAAUUUUUAAAAGACCUUUUUCGGAAGGUAUGCUUAAAGAGGGGCUUGCGCCACAUUAGUUAGUUGGUAAGGUAAAGGCUUACCAAGACGAUGAUGUGUAGCUGGACUGAGAGGUCGAACAGCCACAUUGGGACUGAGACACGGCCCAAACUCCUACGGGAGGCAGCAGUAAGGAAUUUUUGGCAAUGGAGGAAACUCUGACCGAGCGACGCCHCGUGAACAAUGAAGUACUUCGGUAUGUAAAGUUCUUUUAUUGAAAAAGAAAAAAUAGUGGAAAAACUAUCUUGACAUUAUUCAAUGAAUAAGCCCCGGCUAAUUAUGUGCCAGCAGCCGCGGUAAUACAUAAGGGGCGAGCGUUAUCCGGAAUUAUUGGGCGUAAAGGGUGCGUAGGCGGUUUGAUAAGUCUAUAGUUUAAUUGCAGUGCUUAACGCUGUACCGCUAUAGAAACUGUCUGACUAGAGUUAGAUAGAGGCAAGCGGAAUUCCAUGUGUAGCGGUAAAAUGCGUAAAUAUAUGGAGGAACACCAGAGGCGUAGGCGGCUUGCUGGGUCUUAACUGACGCUGAGGCACGAAAUCGUGGUGAACAAGCAGGAUUAGAUACCCCUGGUAGUCCACGCCGUAAACGAUGAGUACUAAGUGUCGGGUUUUGGCUCGGUACUGAAGUUAACACAUUAAGUACUCCGCCUGAGUAGUACGUACGCAAGUAUGAAACUUAAAGGAAUUGACGGGACCCCGCACAAGCGGUGGAUCAUGUUGUUUAAUUCGAAGAUACACGAAAAACCUUACCAGGUCUUGACAUAAUUUUGCGACAUUAUAGAAAUAUAAUGAAGGUUAUCAGAAUUACAGGUGGUGCAUGGUUGUCGUCAGCUCGUGUCGUGAGAUGUUAGGUUAAGUCCUAAAACGAGCGCAACCCUUGUCGUUAGUUGCGACCACAUAAUGGUGAGCACUUUAGCGAGACUGCCAAUGAAAAAUUGGAGGAAGGUGAGGAUUACGUCAAAUCAUCAUGCCCCUUAUGAUCUGGGCUACAAACGUGAUACAAUGGCUGUUACAAAGGGUAGCUGGAACGUAACUUUUUGGCCAAUCUCAAAAAAACAGUCUCAGUUCGGAUUGAAGUCUGCAACUCGACUUCAUGAAGUUGGAAUCGCUAGUAAUCGCGAAUCAGCAUGUCGCGGUGAAUACGUUGUCGGGGUUUGUACACACCGCCCGUCAAACCACGAAAGUUGAUAAUACCCAAAACCGGUCGCCUAACUUCGUCAGAAGAGGGAACCGUC